GUGUCAGCAGCCGCGGUAAUACGUAGGGGGCGAGCGUUGUCCGGAUUUAUUGGGCGUAAAGGGCGUGUAGGCGGCCUGUUAAGUCAGGGGUGAAACCCCAGGGCUCAACCCUGGGCGUGCCUCUGAUACUGAUGGGCUUGAGUACUCUAGAGGGCAGUGGAAUUGCCGGUGUAGCAGUGAAAUGCGUAGAGAUCGGCAGGAACACCAGUGGCGAAGGCGACUGCCUGGGGAGAAACUGACGCUGAGGCGCGAAAGCUAGGGGAGCAAACAGGAUUAGAUACCCUGGUAGUCC
This 292-nucleotide ribosomal RNA is filed under the name uncultured bacterium. RNAcentral describes it as "partial 16S ribosomal RNA". It matches the Rfam family "Bacterial small subunit ribosomal RNA", at positions 505 to 796 of the family's 1533-position model. The record is from RNAcentral.